Molecule: ribosomal RNA, 579 nt
Filed under: uncultured Wolbachia sp.
Lineage: Bacteria; Pseudomonadati; Pseudomonadota; Alphaproteobacteria; Rickettsiales; Anaplasmataceae
Description: bacterial SSU rRNA
Rfam family: Bacterial small subunit ribosomal RNA
Source: RNAcentral
AGUGGCAGACGGGUGAGUAAUGUAUAGGAAUCUACCUAGUAGUACGGAAUAAUUGUUGGAAACGGCAACUAAUACCGUAUACGCCCUACGGGGGAAAAAUUUAUUGCUAUUAGAUGAGCCUAUAUUAGAUUAGUUAGUUGGUGAGGUAAAGGCUUACCAAGACAAUGAUCUAUAGCUGAUCUGAGAGGAUGAUCAGCCACACUGGAACUGAGAUACGGUCCAGACUCCUACGGGAGGCAGCAGUGGGGAAUAUUGGACAAUGGGCGAAAGCCUGAUCCAGCCAUGCCGCAUGAGUGAAGAAGGCCUUCGGGUUGUAAAGCUCUUUUAGUGAGGAAGAUAAUGACGGUACUCACAGAAGAAGUCCUGGCUAACUCUGUGCCAGCAGCCGCGGUAAUACGGAGAGGGCUAGCGUUAUUCGGAAUCAUUGGGCGUAAAGGGCGCGUAGGCGGGUUAAUAAGUUAAAAGUGAAAUCCCAAGGCUCAACCUUGGAACUGCUUUUAAAACUGCUAGUCUAGAGAUUGAAAGAGGAUAGAGGAAUUCCUAGUGUAGAGGUGAAAUUCGUAAAUAUUANGAGGAACA